This is a long non-coding RNA of Vicia villosa (hairy vetch), 1426 nucleotides long. RefSeq lists it as uncharacterized. The transcript is spliced from 4 exons. Lineage: Eukaryota; Viridiplantae; Streptophyta; Magnoliopsida; Fabales; Fabaceae. The record is from RefSeq and is a predicted model, not a curated record.
AAAACAAUUAAUUAAAAUAAACAGAAAAAAGGGAAUAAGCUGAGAUUGGGGAUUAGGGUUCGUUGUUGCGACGUUUCUCCUUCCUUCUCAUUCUCCCCCCUUUUGUUCACUCAUCCACAGCGACCGGAGAAACUCCUCCUCCUCCGCCGUGAUUCAAUUAAUCAGCCAUCAUUAACUCCUCUCUUGAUUCCUCACCUUCAUCCCCGAUCUCAUCUCAACUUAACAAAUUUCUCAAGCGUGUGCCCCUUGCGUUUCGAAUCGUUUCUGUUCAAUUAUCAUAAAGAAACAAGGAAAUAGAGAAGACGGAAUAACUUACUUACCGGAGGGAGCGUCCGGUGCUUCUUGCACGGCGGCGAUGAAGAGCAAAUCGGAGAAAAUCUCGGCGCCUCUUCAAGCUCGAAUUUGCAGAAAUUGGUGGCGCGCGUUGAAGAAGAUGUUAUUCAGAACAUGAUGAAGAUUAUCGGUGUACAAUGUUUGAUGGUGAUUGAUGGAAGCGCUGCAAAAUCGGAGAAUGCUUGCCGAUUUGAAUCACGUUCACUGCGGGAAGAACAAAGUAAUUUUUUGAAAUCGAAUCUGCUACGCGGCGAUAUUGAUGAUGAUGGUGUUGAGAGGAAGCUGAAGAAUGGAUCAGUGUUCAGUUAUAUAGAGUUUAUAGGAUAUUGGGGAUCAAAAACCAUAUGCUCUGGGUACCCAUUAUUUUCUGGUGAAACCUGAUUCCAGCUAGAUACACUUUCAGUUGUACAUGUUUCUGCCAAAGCUCCAGCAACAGACUGGGCAGUUUGCUGCAGAUAAGAGACUUCUGUUUUUUCGAUCAGAAGCAGCAGACCAAUCUACAUCCGUAUCGGCUUCCGUGUUUUGCUGACUGGUAUUGGAACUGCAUUUCAAUCGAACUCAAACUGAAACGAGCUUAGGCCAGAAUGACUUGUGAUGGCAGGAUGCUUGUUUUUGAACUGCUUGAAGAAAGGACUUGUUUUUGUAAUGAUUGGUAUAAAUUCAAAGUGAGUUUGGAAUGGUUUUUUUUGCAAGUUUGGAACUUGAAUAGCGAAGCACAUUCAGUAGGAUCUGCUGCCAUUCUUCAGCAUGUGGGGCUAGCAUAUCAUUUGAUUCACUUCUUUUAUCCAACAACACUAGGUCUUUCACAAUUGUCGCAAACCAAAUACCUGGUAUUCGAUACAUCCUCCGCUUGCAGCAGGGUGGUUUUGAAAUAGAAUGAGGUUUAGUCGUAAGAUAGGAUACGAGGCCAAAUAACCUUGUGUAAUUUUCGGUAACUUUGUGUGAAUUUUGUACAUGUAAUAAAUGAUGGACAUUGUUUGAUGUGGAUUUAUACUGGUUUAUGUGUAAUUUGUAGAGAUUAUUGAAUUUGGAUGAUAAUGUUUGUAUUGUGAUGAAUGAACUUAGUUGAAUGGCCUUGAAUAUAUAUAUAUAU